GAGAAGGCAGCUGGGCAUGCGCAGUGCCAGAGGCUGGCAGAGGAGGCGCUGGCAGAGACGCCAGGUGGGUCUGCGCUUUGGGACGGGAACCUCACAGCCACAGUCACGUCCCCAGAAAAGGGAACACAGGACUUGGAGACGUUUCGAUGUUUUCAAGACCUGGGAAACGUGUUUAAAGGCAAACAGCAAAGCUUGACCAUGUAGAGAUAGAUGUCCUUCCUAUUUAGCAAUUCACUCAGAGAGAAGAGAACGCGUGAUUUGGGGGCAGAAGAGAAAGAAACUGAGUUGAGAAACAGAAAAUUCAGAUUUUCUAAAAGCGUCCAGAAGUGAACAGUGAGUAAAAACGCCCCACGUGACACUGAGAAAUGUCCCCAGAGCCGCGCAGUCCCAAGGCCGCCAUUGAAAAGUCUCCACGCUGGAACUGCUAUUUCCAGCACUUACUGUCAGGGACUGAGUUUGAGUUUGCGUUUUGCAAACCAUCUCCUCCAUCGUUUUGGUUUUCCACAGUGACGCAAAGAGUUGCCCUCCCUCUCUGGUUUCUUAUGGCGGCUGGUUUCCUUCCAUCUUUUUCAAAUAACGCAUUUCCACUUAGCUGGUGCCGUCUUCUGGGAUUAAUUAGUGACUGCGCAAGGUACACGGGGUUUCCGCGGCCGGCACCUCUUGACAGACGGCAGUUGGAAAGAAAUGGGAAAUGAUUGCAGAGAUGGAAGAAAAAAAAAGACCUAAAUUAUAGGAACCAACAGUCCCUGUUGCUGGAAAAUGCUGGGGAUCUGGAGUGAAUAAAUAUUCCUGAGAUGAGACGACCGUGACCUUGUGUGGGGAGCUUGGGGCAAUCACCUGGAUAACACGAGCCAGGAGAGGGCAGGGAUGGAAGAAAACAUUUCUGAAGCUCAUUCAUCCUGAAAUGCCUGGGUCAGACAGUUGACUCUGUGGAUGCCGCCAGAAUUCAUCUCAGAGAGAGGCAGGCACAGAGAAAUAUUCCAGCUGAGCGGAGCCACCAGGAAAUGUGCGCUCCACAGAUCAGGCUCCAAGUUGCAGGUGCACACGUGUGUGUACAUGUGUGUGCAUGUAUGUGCAUGUGAAGGCAACAUGACAGCCCUGAGGUGAGGCCCAUCCCCAGGCCUCCCGAGGCUCAGGUGGUCCCUUGAAGGGGGCCUGCAGGCACCCAGCAUGCAGACACACCGCCAUUGAGCCCUCGCGUUGCUAGUCUAAUUCUCUCCGCCUGCAGAGUGGGUGCUGUGAUGCCCAUUGAAGAGAUGAAGAAGCCAAGGCUCAGAGAGGUACAGGAACUUGUCCAGGGUCACAUUCAUUUGGCAGGGCAGCCAGGGUUUAAGCCCAGGUUUUUCUGUAAAGUCUGUGUGUUUCCUACCGCCUCACGCUGUCAUCCCACAGUCCAACAAGGCUCGGCUCGGCUGUGUCAGUAGUUAACGUGCAUGAUGCUGGAACCCUGGGAUGGACAGUGUCUUCUGCAGAAGUCGCUCUCCGUUUCCUCCGGCUGAGCCAGGGCCAGCGGAGCACAGGGCCAGGCUGCCGUGUCCUUGUUCUGCGCUGUGCUCUGAGGGCUGCGUGUGGCCUGGCCCACGGUAUUUGCAGCCACAGAGCAGGCUGCGUUUUAAAUCCACCAAGGGCAGCAGGGGGGCUGGGCGGGAGCAGCGUCCCUGGGGCUCACGGAAGCGCCGAGCGCCCCCCAGUCCUCACUGGGCUGUGGUGUGGAGCAUGAAGGGCUAAUUUCAUGGCUGAUAAAACUCUCUAUGCACGAGACUUCACAGACAAAUGAGAGCACUGCUCUGCUCCUUUUCAUGAGGACAUUUAUUUUCUCCUUUCCUUGGGAAGGCACUUCUUCCGGCCUUCCUCAGUCCUGGCCCCUGCAGCUGUGCAAAGGAGGAUCAGGGCUUCUGUGAUGGAAGUGCAGACACCAGGACAGAAAAGUGGCUGGUUCAGGGAGGAGGGCCGGGCCAUGCUCCCUGCUGGGAGCAGAUGGGGCCAAGAGGGAGGCUGGUGGGAGGAUCUGGGUAGCUCUGAAGGAUGCUCCGUGUUAUCCUGAAGGGGCGCAUCCUCAUCGGGUUUGAAACAAUGGGACUUGGUUCAAUGGAGAAAUGAUCUCAUCAGCCUGUUUCUCCUCAUGGCCUUCCCCAGCCAUACCCUGCUUUGCGAGGAAUUCUCCAGGAUGCGGGCAAUCAUGGCCUGCUCCAGAAGGCCUUCCGGAGUGCUCUGGCUCACUGGCAUCUCCUUUUCUCAGAACCCUAUCCGAGACCGACUCUCCUAACCUCUGGCCCUCUCCUAACCUCCAUGGGCCAGGAUCUGGCAUUUCAGGAGAUUCUCACUGGAGACCCCCCGUGUGCCCCAUAGUGCAGACGAGGAAGCUGAGGUUCGGUCUGUUGGGUGUGAUCCCAGCUGCCAACUGAUGGAGCCUGAUGAGGUCCACCAGCCGUCUGGUCCACGUCCAGCACCGGGGCUGGCUAGGUCACGUGACUGAACUUUUCACAGUCCUCUCUCUUACCCGAGCACUUCAGUAUGUUUGAUUUUUCUCCUUAAUUAUGCUAGAGGCUUCUUGGGAGCAGAUACCAUAUUUUCUUUCUCUUGCACCCUCUCUCCAGUGUGAAACAUAGACACACACAUCCAUGGAAGAGAGAGCAACACACACACACAACACAGAGACACAAAGAGCCACCCACAGAUAAACACACACAAGACACACACAGAAUACACAUAUGAACGCACAUGUCCAAACCCACACUCGAGGCUAUGUGUGCAUGACGUCUGCACACACAAAUAUGGUCACUGACGUCCCCUCCCCGAGCACACAGGCCUGACAAGGAAAGAAAGCUGUAAAAGGGAUUUUAGCAGAAAGCAGGACCAAUGACAGGACCAGCGCCCGCCUUGUGAGUCCUGGGCUCAGCAACAUUUGGCCCCUCCUGCCACCUCUGGGUCUGGCAUGUGUGAGUGGCCUGGCUCUGGAAUCAGUCACUGGCCUGUGCAUCCAGCAAGUGCCAGGAACUCUCCCAGCCUCAGUUUCCCCCUCCGUCACAUGUGGUUAGCCUGCCCUGCUCAUGGAUCAUUGUGAGGAUUAGAUGAGAGAACAGAUGCCAUAACGUCUGGUUCACAAGAAGCAGAGCUCUCAUUUCUCCCUGAGCGAGGAGCCUGACGGUUCAGAAGGGCCAUGGGGAGGCCGGAAAGGGGACACAGAGAGUUUCACAAACUGACAUUUAAAAAAAAUUAAAACUGUAUCAUUUAUAUCACAUUUUUCUUAUUUUAUAGGUAAGAUACAGUCCGUUUUAAAUAUUUUAGAAAACCAGAAUCAUACUGAGAAGAAUAUUUUUAAAGUAACCCCACCCCGUCAUCCACUGACUCACUCCACGAGCUCUUCUGAGAGCUGCCUGUGCUGGUCCCGUUUCAGGCCCUGGGGUCCAGCUUGAGCGAGAUAGGGAAAGCACCUGCGCGGAAGGUUCUGGGGGGAGAGGGCGGGCCGCAGACGGGCCCACAGACAGAGGCUCCUGCUCCUGGGGCUCUCCUCGCUGUAACCGCAGCUGCACACAGAUGUGGGGAGAGUGAGGGUUGAUUGUAUGUGUCAGCUGGCCGGGGCCACAGGGCCCCAGCUAUCUGGUUCCAGACUACUUCUGGGUGUGUCUGUGAAGGUGCAUCUCC
This 3645-nucleotide long non-coding RNA is filed under the name Equus caballus (horse). RNAcentral describes it as "lncRNA (ENSECAG00000044879.1)". The record is from RNAcentral. Lineage: Eukaryota; Metazoa; Chordata; Mammalia; Perissodactyla; Equidae.